UACGUAGGGGGCAAGCGUUAUCCGGAUUUACUGGGUGUAAAGGGAGCGUAGACGGCGAUGCAAGCCAGAUGUGAAAGCCCGGGGCUCAACCCCGGAACUGCAUUUGGAACUGUAUAGCUAGAGUGUCGGAGAGGCAGGCGGAAUUCCUAGUGUAGCGGUGAAAUGCGUAGAUAUUAGGAGGGACACCAGUGGCGAAGGCGGCCUGCUGGACGAUGACUGACGUUGAGACUCGAAAGCGUGGGGAGCAAACAGG
Molecule: ribosomal RNA, 253 nt
Filed under: uncultured bacterium
Lineage: Bacteria
Description: partial 16S ribosomal RNA
Rfam family: Bacterial small subunit ribosomal RNA
Source: RNAcentral